AUACGUAGGGGGCGAGCGUUGUCCGGAAUGAUUGGGCGUAAAGGGCGCGUAGGCGGCCCGGUACGUCUGGAGUGAAAGUCCUGUUUUUAAGAUGGGAAUUGCUUUGGAUACUGUCGGGCUUGAGUGCAGGAGAGGUAAGUGGAAUUCCCAGUGUAGCGGUGAAAUGCGUAGAGAUUGGGAGGAACACCAGUGGCGAAGGCGACUUACUGGACUGUAACUGACGCUGAGGCGCGAAAGCGUGGGGAGCGAACAGGAUUAGAUACCCUGGUAGUCCACGCGGUAAACGAUGAAUGCUAGGUGUUGCGGGUAUCGACCCCUGCAGUGCCGGAGUAAACACAAUAAGCAUUCCGCCUGGGGAGUACGGCCGCAAGGUUGAAACUCAAAGGAAUUGACGGGG
RNAcentral lists this ribosomal RNA (397 nucleotides) under uncultured bacterium. Its description in RNAcentral is "partial 16S ribosomal RNA". It matches the Rfam family "Bacterial small subunit ribosomal RNA", at positions 523 to 918 of the family's 1533-position model. The record is from RNAcentral.